This 535-nucleotide ribosomal RNA is filed under the name Fusarium tricinctum. Its description in RNAcentral is "eukaryotic LSU rRNA". The stretch from base 152 to 305 matches the Rfam family "5.8S ribosomal RNA". The record is from RNAcentral. Lineage: Eukaryota; Fungi; Ascomycota; Sordariomycetes; Hypocreales; Nectriaceae.
GAUUUCCUUUGGGGCACACGUACCCUGUGCCAUACCUUAAUGUUGCCUCGGCGGAUCAGCCCGCGCCCCGUAAAACGGGACGGCCCGCCAGAGGACCCAAACUCUAAUGUUUCUUAUUGUAACUUCUGAGUAAAACAAACAAAUAAAUCAAAACUUUCAACAACGGAUCUCUUGGUUCUGGCAUCGAUGAAGAACGCAGCAAAAUGCGAUAAGUAAUGUGAAUUGCAGAAUUCAGUGAAUCAUCGAAUCUUUGAACGCACAUUGCGCCCGCUGGUAUUCCGGCGGGCAUGCCUGUUCGAGCGUCAUUUCAACCCUCAAGCCCCCGGGUUUGGUGUUGGGGAUCGGCUCUGCCCUUCUGGGCGGUGCCGCCCCCGAAAUACAUUGGCGGUCUCGCUGCAGCCUCCAUUGCGUAGUAGCUAACACCUCGCAACUGGAACGCGGCGCGGCCAUGCCGUAAAACCCCAACUUCUGAAUGUUGACCUCGGAUCAGGUAGGAAUACCCGCUGAACUUAAGCAUAUCAAUAAGCCGGAGGAA